RNAcentral lists this ribosomal RNA (255 nucleotides) under uncultured Actinomycetales bacterium. Its description in RNAcentral is "partial 16S ribosomal RNA". It matches the Rfam family "Bacterial small subunit ribosomal RNA", at positions 78 to 334 of the family's 1533-position model. Lineage: Bacteria; Bacillati; Actinomycetota; Actinomycetes; Actinomycetales. The record is from RNAcentral.
UUUUGUGGGGUGCUCGAGUGGCGAACGGGUGAGUAACACGUGAGUAACCUGCCCUUGACUUUGGGAUAACUUCAGGAAACUGGGGCUAAUACCGGGUAGGAGCUCCUGCUGCAUGGUGGGGGUUGGAAAGUUUCGGCGGUUGGGGAUGGACUCGCGGCUUAUCAGCUCGUUGGUGGGGUAGUGGCUUACCAAGGCUUUGACGGGUAGCCGGCCUGAGAGGGUGACCGGCCACAUUGGGACUGAGAUACGGCCCAG